AUUGAACGCUGGCGGCAGGCCUAACACAUGCAAGUCGAGCGGAUGAAGGGAGCUUGCUCCUGGAUUCAGCGGCGGACGGGUGAGUAAUGCCUAGGAAUCUGCCUGGUAGUGGGGGAUAACGUCCGGAAACGGGCGCUAAUACCGCAUACGUCCUGAGGGAGAAAGUGGGGGAUCUUCGGACCUCACGCUAUCAGAUGAGCCUAGGUCGGAUUAGCUAGUUGGUGGGGUAAAGGCCUACCAAGGCGACGAUCCGUAACUGGUCUGAGAGGAUGAUCAGUCACACUGGAACUGAGGCACGGUCCAGACUCCUACGGGAGGCAGCAGUGGGGAAUAUUGGACAAUGGGCGAAAGCCUGAUCCAGCCAUGCCGCGUGUGUGAAGAAGGUCCUCGGAUUGUAAAGCACUUUAAGUUGGGAGGAAGGGCAGUAAGUUAAUACCUUGCUGUUUUGACGUUACCAACAGAAUAAGCACCGGCUAACUUCGUG
This 484-nucleotide ribosomal RNA is filed under the name uncultured bacterium. RNAcentral's name for it is "partial 16S ribosomal RNA". It matches the Rfam family "Bacterial small subunit ribosomal RNA", at positions 30 to 507 of the family's 1533-position model. The record is from RNAcentral.